GACAGAGGGUGCAAACGUUGUUCGGAAUUACUGGGCGUAAAGCGCGUGUAGGCGGCUAUGUAAGUCGGGCGUGAAAUCCCACGGCUCAACCGUGGAAGUGCACCCGAAACUGCGUAGCUAGAGUCCUGGAGAGGAAGGUGGAAUGCUUGGUGUAGAGGUGAAAUUCGUUGAUAUCAAGCGGAACACCGGUGGCGAAGGCGGCCUUCUGGACAGUGACUGACGCUGAGACGCGAAAGCGUGGGGAGCAAACAGG
RNAcentral lists this ribosomal RNA (253 nucleotides) under uncultured bacterium. RNAcentral's name for it is "partial 16S ribosomal RNA". It matches the Rfam family "Bacterial small subunit ribosomal RNA", at positions 524 to 776 of the family's 1533-position model. The record is from RNAcentral.